CAAAAAACCACUUAGACAGACUAUGAAGAGAUACAUAGGGUGAGAAACGGAGGCCUUCAGCCAACAGCUGGGAGAAGCUGAGUCCCGUCAGCAAUUCAAAAGACUGCAGCCCCAGCCAAGAGUUUGAUGUAACCUCAGGAGAGACCCUGAGCCAGAACCACCUAGGCCAAUGAGCUAUACCUAGUGAUUCCAAAGUCCACAUAUAUUUACUCUGUUCUCACUGUGCAAAGUAAGUAACCGCUCUGAAGUCAAAAAAGCUGGGAUACAUGAAGACUGCCAUCCCUUGAGUCACUUGCCCUGUAGCUGCCACUGUUGGAAAAGGGCUUGAUUCUGUGUCCUUGUGCCCACUUUGAAAAGCCCUGGGAAGUCCUUGGAGUCAGAUGAUCAGGCCUCCACCACUCUGCCAAAAAGUCUGUUCAAAAAAUAUGGGAGACCUCAAUCAGCUGAAGUUCAACAUGUUCAAAGGUAGACAAAGUUUCUUGUUGCUCUAAGGUAUUUUUCCUCUGGAAAUGAGCUGACUAGGCAUGCUACUUCUACUUGAAAGAGAUUGAUGCUUGUCUUACACCAUUUUGAGGUCACCACAGUACAUGACUCAGAAUCAUUAGACAAAUGUUGAUUGAAUAUCUCCUACAUUCCAAAUACUGUGUUGAAUGUGGUUAAAGCAUUAAAUGUUAAUGGAAUAUUUUGUACAG
RNAcentral lists this long non-coding RNA (692 nucleotides) under Pan troglodytes (chimpanzee). Its description in RNAcentral is "lincRNA". The record is from RNAcentral. Lineage: Eukaryota; Metazoa; Chordata; Mammalia; Primates; Hominidae.